GAUUUGUUGCUGAUCAUGGUCAUCACUGUAGCUUAAUUACAAUGCUCACUGUAGCAAAAGCUGAGGAUGUCACAAGACCGGCAUACCCCAUUAAUAAGCCACAAUUCUUCACGUGUGAGGUAGCUCUAGAAGCUUUAAUUUCACGUCAACCGAUUAUUAUGAUUUGUGCUCAGCAAAGGACCUACCUAUUAUUAUGAUUUUACACUACCG
RNAcentral lists this long non-coding RNA (210 nucleotides) under Hordeum vulgare. RNAcentral's name for it is "long non-coding RNA (HVUL_LNC010087)". The record is from RNAcentral. Lineage: Eukaryota; Viridiplantae; Streptophyta; Magnoliopsida; Poales; Poaceae.